RNAcentral lists this long non-coding RNA (319 nucleotides) under Sinocyclocheilus grahami. RNAcentral describes it as "lncRNA (ENSSGRG00000014129.1)". Lineage: Eukaryota; Metazoa; Chordata; Actinopteri; Cypriniformes; Cyprinidae. The record is from RNAcentral.
UUGAAAUGUACUAAGAAAAGCCUAAGUUAAUAAACUGAGUUAAUGAAUGGCAUCUUUUCAGGUCCUCCUGGUCUCAUUGGUCACCCUGGACAGGAAGGUCCUCGAGGACCCAAAGGAAGUGCAGGUGAAUCAGGAAAUGACGGUUUACCUGGGCUGAGGGGUCGAGAGGGGCCAGUGGGUCACAGAGGAGAACCAGGACCCCCAGGAAUUGGAGAGAAAGGAGAGAAAGGUUCUUUUGGCGAUGUUGGUGCACCUGGGCUAGCAGGACCACCAGGCCCUGUGGGACCCAAAGGUAAGACCAUCUGCGCCCAGACAAAGA